GACGAACGCUGGCGGCGUGCUUAACACAUGCAAGUCGAGCGGUAAGGCCCUUUCGGGGGUACACGAGCGGCGAACGGGUGAGUAACACGUGGGUGACCUGCCCUCAGCUCUGGGAUAAGCCUGGGAAACCGGGUCUAAUACUGGAUAUGACUCCAUGACGCAUGUUGUGGGGUGGAAAGCCUUGUGCGGCUGAGGAUGGGCCCGCGGCCUAUCAGCUUGUUGGUGGGGGAUGGCCUACCAAGGCGACGACGGGUAGCCGGCCUGAGAGGGCGACCGGCCACACUGGGACUGAGACACGGCCCAGACUCCUACGGGAGGCAGCAGUGGGGAAUCUUGCGCAAUGGGCGAAAGCCUGACGCAGCGACGCCGCGUGAGGGAUGGCGGCCU
Molecule: ribosomal RNA, 387 nt
Filed under: uncultured bacterium
Lineage: Bacteria
Description: bacterial SSU rRNA
Rfam family: Bacterial small subunit ribosomal RNA
Source: RNAcentral